This 460-nucleotide ribosomal RNA is filed under the name uncultured bacterium. RNAcentral describes it as "partial 16S ribosomal RNA". It matches the Rfam family "Bacterial small subunit ribosomal RNA", at positions 338 to 795 of the family's 1533-position model. The record is from RNAcentral.
CCUACGGGGGGCAGCAGUGAGGAAUAUUGGUCAAUGGGCUUACGCCUGAACCAGCCAAGUCGCGUGAGGGAAGACUGCCCUAUGGGUUGUAAACCUCUUUUGUCAGGGAGCAAUUGGCGCUACGUGUAGCGUUAUCGAGAGUACCUGAAGAAAAAGCAUCGACUAACUCCGUGCCAGCAGCCGCGUAAAUACGGGGGACGCGAGCUUUAUCCGGAUUAUUUGGGUUUAAAGGAUCCGUAGGCGGAAUGCCAAGUCAGCGGUAAAAUUGCGGGGCUCAACCUCGCUCCGCAGUUGAUACUGGCGUUCUUGAGUGGGCGAGAGGUAUGCGGAAUGCGUGGUGUAGCGGUGAAAUGCAUAGAUAUCACGAAGAACUCCGAUUGCGAAGGCAGCAUACCGGCGCCCAACUGACGCUGAAGCACGAAAGCGUGGGUAUCGAACAGGAUUAGAUACCCGGGUAGUC